CCUACGGGAGGCAGCAGUGGGGAAUUUUGGACAAUGGGCGAAAGCCUGAUCCAGCAAUGCCGCGUGAGUGAAGAAGGCCUUCGGGUUGUAAAGCUCUUUUGUCAGGGAAGAAACGGUGAGGGCUAAUAUCCUUUGCUAAUGACGGUACCUGAAGAAUAAGCACCGGCUAACUACGUGCCAGCAGCCGCGGUAAUACGUAGGGUGCAAGCGUUAAUCGGAAUUACUGGGCGUAAAGCGUGCGCAGGCGGUUUUGUAAGUCUGAUGUGAAAUCCCCGGGCUCAACCUGGGAAUUGCAUUGGAGACUGCAAGGCUAGAAUCUGGCAGAGGGGGGUAGAAUUCCACGUGUAGCAGUGAAAUGCGUAGAUAUGUGGAGGAACACCGAUGGCGAAGGCAGCCCCCUGGGUCAAGAUUGACGCUCAUGCACGAAAGCGUUGGGGAGCAAACAGGAUUAGAUACCCUGGUAGUCCACGCCCUAAACGAUGUCUACUAGUUGUCGGGUCUUAAUUGACUUGGUAACGCAGCUAACGCGUUGAAGUACGACCGCCUGGGGAGUACGGUCGCAAAGNUUAAAACCGNAAANAGAGUAGAGCGNGAGAGNGCGACGGACGACGACGAGGGAGGAGG
Molecule: ribosomal RNA, 624 nt
Filed under: uncultured bacterium
Lineage: Bacteria
Description: bacterial SSU rRNA
Rfam family: Bacterial small subunit ribosomal RNA
Source: RNAcentral